Small nucleolar RNA from Cornus florida, 80 nucleotides. RefSeq annotates it as small nucleolar RNA U30. The transcript has a single exon. NCBI's taxonomy places the organism in Eukaryota, Viridiplantae, Streptophyta, Magnoliopsida, Cornales, Cornaceae. The record is from RefSeq and is a predicted model, not a curated record.
UGCGAUGAUGAGCUUAUUAUAAUCUCGUUAAUCUGAUGGUUUGUGAGGAUAAAAUCUAAUCCAUUCCAAUGAUUCUGAGC